AUCGCUAUGACACCAAUCACAGUGAUGAUGAUGGUCAUCGACGUGUGCCAGGGGUUCUUCUCUUUCAUCUCUGAGAGCGGGGGCGGAAAUACAGACAGACAGAUGGGACAGAAAGUAGGUGCCGCUGGCUGGACAAGGUCGAGGGGUGACAGGUGUGGCUCAUUGACUCAUCAGCUGGGGAGCUUAAAGAAGAUGGUUUGCCAACACUUCGUUGCCUGAGUGCUUUGCCCUCCGUGGUACUGGUUUCCAAUUGGUCAAAGCCGAACCCUGAAUCAUCGUUUUCGUGUCCGGACCUCCUCCUGAACCUGGACUGAACCUGGCUGGCGAUCUGAGAUCCCCUGGAUCAGCUGUAAUAUUAACUUUCAGGCAUUGUUGG
Long non-coding RNA from Girardinichthys multiradiatus, 376 nucleotides. RefSeq lists it as uncharacterized. The transcript is spliced from 3 exons. NCBI's taxonomy places the organism in Eukaryota, Metazoa, Chordata, Actinopteri, Cyprinodontiformes, Goodeidae. The record is from RefSeq and is a predicted model, not a curated record.